This 373-nucleotide ribosomal RNA is filed under the name uncultured bacterium. RNAcentral's name for it is "bacterial SSU rRNA". It matches the Rfam family "Bacterial small subunit ribosomal RNA", at positions 525 to 896 of the family's 1533-position model. The record is from RNAcentral.
ACGAGGGGGGCAAGCGUUGUUCGGAAUUAUUGGGCGUAAAGGGUGCGUAGGCGGUUUGAUAAGUUCUGUGUGAAAUCUAUGGGCUCAACCCAUAGUCUGCACGGAAAACUGUCAGGCUUGAGGAUGGGAGAGGUGAGUGGAAUUUCCGGUGUAGCGGUGAAAUGCGUAGAUAUCGGAAGGAACACCUGUGGCGAAAGCGGCUCACUGGACCAUUUCUGACGCUGAUGCACGAAAGCUAGGGGAGCAAACAGGAUUAGAUACCCUGGUAGUCCUAGCCCUAAACGAUGAUUGCUUGAUGUGGUGGGUACCCAAUCCCGCCGUGUCGAAGCUAACGCGAUAAGCAAUCCGCCUGGGGAGUACGGUCGCAAGGCUG